AGAGUUUGAUCAUGGCUCAGGACGAACGCUGGCGGCGUGCUUAACACAUGCAAGUCGAGCGGAAAGGCCCUUCGGGGUACUCGAGCGGCGAACGGGUGAGUAACACGUGAGUAACCUGCCCUGGACUUUGGGAUAACCCUCGGAAACGGGGGCUAAUACCGGAUACGACACGCGUCUGCAUGGACUGCGUGUGGAAAGUUUUUCGGUCUGGGAUGGGCUCGCGGCCUAUCAGCUUGUUGGUGGGGUGAUGGCCUACCAAGGCGACGACGGGUAGCCGGCCUGAGAGGGCGACCGGCCACACUGGGACUGAGACACGGCCCAGACUCCUACGGGAGGCAGCAGUGGGGAAUAUUGCACAAUGGGCGGAAGCCUGAUGCAGCGACGCCGCGUGAGGGAUGACGGCCUUCGGGUUGUAAACCUCUUUCAGCAGGGACGAAGCGUAAGUGACGGUACCUGCAGAAGAAGCGCCGGCCAACUACGUGCCAGCAGCCGCGGUAAGACGUAGGGCGCGAGCGUUGUCCGGAUUUAUUGGGCGUAAAGAGCUCGUAGGCGGCUUGUCGCGUCGUCCGUGAAAACUUGGGGCUCAACCCCAAGCUUGCGGUCGAUACGGGCAGGCUAGAGUUCGGUAGGGGAGACUGGAAUUCCUGGUGUAGCGGUGAAAUGCGCAGAUAUCAGGAGGAACACCGGUGGCGAAGGCGGGUCUCUGGGCCGAUACUGACGCUGAGGAGCGAAAGCGUGGGGAGCGAACAGGAUUAGAUACCCUAGUAGUCC
This 771-nucleotide ribosomal RNA is filed under the name uncultured bacterium. RNAcentral's name for it is "bacterial SSU rRNA". It matches the Rfam family "Bacterial small subunit ribosomal RNA", at positions 8 to 796 of the family's 1533-position model. The record is from RNAcentral.